Apodemus sylvaticus (European woodmouse) is the source of this 1384-nucleotide long non-coding RNA. RefSeq lists it as uncharacterized. The record is from RefSeq and is a predicted model, not a curated record. NCBI's taxonomy places the organism in Eukaryota, Metazoa, Chordata, Mammalia, Rodentia, Muridae. The transcript is spliced from 3 exons.
UUCUCACUGGCCACAGGGAAGUGCCAGUCCCAGCAAAUUAAGCUUUGAAAAUAGUCUGUUAAGUAAUUUCUCUAAUCGCCGGCUGCUAUUGGUAGUAGCCCCUGUCGGUGUCUGGACUGACCCCCAUCAGCAGCUCUAAACGCUGACCCCAAUGCUACAUACCUGGGUUUACCCACUCCAUGGUCAUUAAGAUGUCCCCAGGCUAACCAUGGAAGCACAGAAGCAGCUCUAGGAAGGAUGCUGGUGACCUGCCCAUCCACACAGCAUCUGGAUCUCUAACCUGCUCCACACACCUCCUCCCGUUCUUUCUGUUAGAAGCAAACUGAGUUUACCUUACUUCUUUUUCAAAACCCCAAAUCAACAAUGCCCUAGCAAAUAUUUGACAAGCAGCUUCCAGAGUAAAGUCACUUUACUCGACAUGGGAAUCUCAUCUCAAGACAGCAGAACACCAAGGCAGAUUUCCAAAGGCUAUGAUCUACUCUUGGAUGCCCAGGUCGGAUCAUAAGUUCUAUCCAGUAAUCAAAGCUUGCUUUCUGACCCUUGGUAGUUUGAGUUUUCUCUCCUCUGUCCAUGGUCCUGGAUUCAGGACAUUAUUGAGGGUGGGUCUCUGGAGAAUAGAUACAUUUUUUUCCCUACUCACUCUGAGACUGCUGACACCCGGGAGCCUCAUGCCUCAACUCUAAGGCCAUUUUCUUGGACUAGUUUCGCAUUUUUCAGGCAACAGGCGAAGUCAAAUUUUACCUGAGUUUCAUACCAAAGAUCUAUGUUGGAGCCAUGGGCCCACAACUGGCCAGUUAAAUCACAGGGUUUCCUGGGCUAGAAGAAGAAACUAUGCACCAAGAACUACUUCAAAUGUGAGGCAAGUUCUAGAAGAAAUGGUAGGAAAGCCAGGCUCUACGAGGACUCUUUCAUCAUUGUGUAAGACAAAGAAGAGACUAUACAGAAGGAGACUGGAUUUUGGCCUGCCUGGGAGUGGGGAAGGUGGGUAAGAAGUUCCCCUUUAAUCAGAGCCUGGUGGGAAGCCAGGGAAGCUGUGGCUGUGGCUGAUGACUGAUCUGAUGGUGGCUGGAAUGGAGAGAGCUCCACAGCAGAGCUGAAUGUACUGUGCAUAUGUAUGGGCUAUGGGCAUGUAUGUGUUUGCAGGCAUGUGUUUGCUGCUGCUUUUCUCCCUCUGACUGAUGGCUGGCACUCCAGGUAUCCAAGUGCUGCCGGGAUCCUCCUACUCUAUUCCACUUUGGUGUGGAUUUGGGGAGAGCAAGUGAGAUACGGGUCGAUGUCUCUCUUAAGUAACCUCCAAGGGGACUUUCUCAGCUAUCAGGAAAUUCUGCUCCAUGCUGUUAUCCAGAGACCCAUAUUCCUUUAAUUUUGUUUCUUUAUCUUUAAA